AUACGGAGGGUGCAAGCGUUAAUCGGAAUUACUGGGCGUAAAGCGUACGUAGGCGGUUUAUUAAGUCAGAUGUGAAAGCCCCGGGCUUAACCUGGGAACUGCAUUUGAAACUAGUAGACUAGAGUAUGGUAGAGGGGGGUAGAAUUCCUAGUGUAGCGGUGAAAUGCGUAGAUAUUAGGAGGAAUACCAGUGGCGAAGGCGGCCCCCUGGACCAAUACUGACGCUGAGGUGCGAAAGCGUGGGGAGCAAACAGGAUUAGAAACCCGAGUAGUCC
RNAcentral lists this ribosomal RNA (274 nucleotides) under uncultured bacterium. Its description in RNAcentral is "partial 16S ribosomal RNA". It matches the Rfam family "Bacterial small subunit ribosomal RNA", at positions 523 to 796 of the family's 1533-position model. The record is from RNAcentral.